RNAcentral lists this ribosomal RNA (524 nucleotides) under uncultured bacterium. RNAcentral's name for it is "partial 16S ribosomal RNA". It matches the Rfam family "Bacterial small subunit ribosomal RNA", at positions 28 to 523 of the family's 1533-position model. The record is from RNAcentral.
GACGAACGCUGGCGGCGUGCCUAAUACAUGCAAGUCGAGCGCAGGAAAUCGACGGAACCCUUCGGGGGGAAGUCGACGGAAUGAGCGGCGGACGGGUGAGUAACACGUAAAGAACCUGCCCUCAGGUCUGGGAUAACCACGAGAAAUCGGGGCUAAUACCGGAUGGGUCAUCGGACCGCAUGGUCCGAGGAUGAAAGGCGCUUCGGCGUCGCCUGGGGAUGGCUUUGCGGUGCAUUAGCUAGUUGGUGGGGUAAUGGCCCACCAAGGCGACGAUGCAUAGCCUGCCUGAGAGGGUGAACGGCCACACUGGGACUGAGACACGGCCCAGACUCCUACGGGAGGCAGCAGUAGGGAAUCUUCCACAAUGGACGAAAGUCUGAUGGAGCAACGCCGCGUGAACGAUGAAGGCCUUCGGGUCGUAAAGUUCUGUUGUAAGGGAAGAACAAGUGCCGCAGGCAAUGGCGGCACCUUGACGGUACCUUGCGAGAAAGCCACGGCUAACUACGUGCCAGCAGCCGCAGUAA